Molecule: long non-coding RNA, 1040 nt
Filed under: Coturnix japonica (Japanese quail)
Lineage: Eukaryota; Metazoa; Chordata; Aves; Galliformes; Phasianidae
Description: lncRNA (ENSCJPG00005010899.1)
Source: RNAcentral
AUGUCUGCUGAAGUCUGGAACAAAUAUUAAUGAUAUCUUUUUCUUUACAGGUAUUAGGAAACUAAGUAAGCACCAACAGCCUGAGCCCCAGCUGCUACCGUAGAUACCAUAAUAACUCUAAAGUUAUUAGGAGAGGUAGCAGCACAAAAGAAAUCAUUGGGUGCAGGACGUGAGAUGAGUAGAACAAGCAGGAACAGUGAAAAUUAAGGCACCAUGCAGUGACUGGAAUCAAAGGUAGCAGCAUGCAACUAUAGUCUGCUAGACUAAUGUGGCCAAGACAAGAAGGAUGUGAAAUGCGAUCAACAAAGAGGAUCAACUCAACUGAUCAAGGGCCCUCAAUAAUAAAACAGGGAAGUUAAACAGUGGGGAGAACUUGUUUGUUUCUUCACUGGUAUCCGGAGUUGUUUUUGCUAGUACAGCAUAGCCUGCCUGGCAUCCGUUCGCACCCUGGUGGAGUGUCAGUCUGCCUUAGGUCCUGCGUCAUACCUGCUAUUUCCAUGCAGAUGUCUUGGAUACCUUAGGGCCUCUCAAAUGGCACUGGGCGUCGAGCAUGGGCAGAGGAAUCCUGUCCUUUGCUGUGUGGAAAAACAUUGCUCCUGAAGGGCCACAACAGCAUGGUAGUGGCUGCAGCCAGGAGUGGCAGCAGUAAGCAAGUUGGAGAAAAUACUGAAAUAGAAAGAUUUAAGUCUUUUGGUUUGGUUGGAAAACUGAACUAGUUUGCCAGAGGGAAAGCAGAGGAAACUAGAAUGUUUUCCCAAAGAGGAGGUAAGGCCCCACCACACCUUGCAACAUCAAAUCUUUAAUCAUGUACCUGCCUGUAUAACAGCAGCAAUAUUCAGUGUUUCUGUAACAUCACUCAUGCAAGAAUUUCAAAGCGCUUCAUAAGCACUAAUUAAUCAAACCUCACAAACACUCAGCAAGCAGCAACUUUGCCCACCAAUGAAGUGUAAUCACUUCUAAAAUGGAACACGAUGGCAGUUUGAUAUCGCAUAACAUGACGCAACAGGUCAAGGCAAGUAGAACAGGAGCAACUGAGGGCA